This 233-nucleotide ribosomal RNA is filed under the name uncultured bacterium. RNAcentral's name for it is "partial 16S ribosomal RNA". It matches the Rfam family "Bacterial small subunit ribosomal RNA", at positions 1283 to 1512 of the family's 1533-position model. The record is from RNAcentral.
UGGUCUUAGUGCAGAUCGAGGGCUGCAACCCGCCCUCGUGGAGAUGGAGUUGCUAGUAACGGCGUAUCAGCAAGGCGCCGUGAAUGCGUACCCGGGCCUUGUACACACCGCCCGUCACGUCAUGGGAGUGGGCAAUGCCUGAAGUCCGUGGGCCAACCCGUAAGGGGGGCAGCGGCCGAGGGCAGGGUUCGCGACUGGGACAGAAGUCGUAACAAGGUAGCCGUAGCGGAAGC